GAGGGUCAUUGGAAACUGGAAAACUUGAGUGCAGAAGAGGAAAGUGGAAUUCCAUGUGUAGCGGUGAAAUGCGCAGAGAUAUGGAGGAACACCAGUGGCGAAGGCGACUUUCUGGUCUGUAACUGACGCUGAUGUGCGAAACGCUUGGGGGAUCAAACAGGAUUAGAUACCCUGGUAGUCCACGCCGUAAACGAUGAGUGCUAAGUGUUAGGGGGUUUCCGCCCCUUAGUGCUGCAGCUAACGCAUUAAGCACUCCGCCUGGGGAGUACGACCGCAAGUUUUGAAACUCAAAAGGAAUUGACGGGGACCCGCACAAGCGGUGGGAGCAUGUGGUUUAAUUCGAAAGCAACGCGAAGAAACCUUACCAAAUCUU
RNAcentral lists this ribosomal RNA (373 nucleotides) under Staphylococcus aureus. Its description in RNAcentral is "bacterial SSU rRNA". It matches the Rfam family "Bacterial small subunit ribosomal RNA", at positions 618 to 982 of the family's 1533-position model. The record is from RNAcentral. Lineage: Bacteria; Bacillati; Bacillota; Bacilli; Caryophanales; Staphylococcaceae.